AAGUCGUAACAAGGUCUCCGUAGGUGAACCUGCGGAGGGAUCAUUAACUUGUAUGUUGAUUUUUGUGUGAUUCACUUCACACAUUUCAACUAUCAAACCAAAACAAACAAACCCCGUGAAUGUGAGCAAUUCAUUUUGCUCAUUUCCUCCCGCAUUUGAACAUCGAAACGGAGCAUUUAGUUGCUGCCCAGUUGGCAAUGGCAUCGGAUGGUGUCGCCAGCCUCGUUAUUCGAAUUGCGGACCAUUUUUCACACACAAACCUAUUUCACCCAUUCGUACAACCCAUUGACUGAAACGAAAGGCGAUUGCUCUGUUUUACGCAGCGGCAAUAACCUGCACCUUCGAGUUUAUUCGAAAUCUAAGCACAACUCUUAGCAACGGAUAUCUUGGUUCUC
Molecule: unclassified non-coding RNA, 395 nt
Filed under: fungal sp.
Lineage: Eukaryota; Fungi
Description: partial internal transcribed spacer region
Rfam family: Eukaryotic small subunit ribosomal RNA (bases 1-46)
Source: RNAcentral